UGGAAUUCCACGUGUAGCGGUGAAAUGCGUAGAGAUGUGGAGGAACACCAGUGGCGAAGGCGACUCUCUGGUCUGUAACUGACGCUGAGGAGCGAAAGCGUGGGGAGCGAACAGGAUUAGAUACCCUGGUAGUCCACGCCGUAAACGAUGAGUGCUAAGUGUUAGGGGGUUUCCGCCCCUUAGUGCUGCAGCUAACGCAUUAAGCACUCCGCCUGGGGAGUACGGUCGCAAGACUGAAACUCAAAGGAAUUGACGGGGGCCCGCACAAGCGGUGGAGCAUGUGGUUUAAUUCGAAGCAACGCGAAGAACCUUACCAGGUCUUGACAUCCUCUGACAAUCCUAGAGAUAGGACGUCCCCUUCGGGGGCAGAGUGACAGGUGGUGCAUGGUUGUCGUCAGCUCGUGUCGUGAGAUGUUGGGUUAAGUCCCGCAACGAGCGCAACCCUUGAUCUUAGUUGCCAGCAUUCAGUUGGGCACUCUAAGGUGACUGCCGGUGACAAACCGGAGGAAGGUGGGGAUGACGUCAAAUCAUCAUGCCCCUUAUGACCUGGGCUACCGACGUGCUACAAUGGGCAGAACAAAGGGCAGCGAAACCGCGAGGUUAAGCCAAUCCCACAAAUCUGUUCUCAGUUCGGAUCGCAGUCUGCAACUCGACUGCGUGAAGCUGGAAUCGCUAGUAAUCGCGGAUCAGCAUGCCGCGGUGAAUACGUUCCC
RNAcentral lists this ribosomal RNA (713 nucleotides) under bacterium F311MS. RNAcentral describes it as "bacterial SSU rRNA". It matches the Rfam family "Bacterial small subunit ribosomal RNA", at positions 662 to 1375 of the family's 1533-position model. The record is from RNAcentral.